This is a non-coding RNA of Ameiurus melas (black bullhead), 73 nucleotides long. The record is from the annotation of a GenBank genome assembly. NCBI's taxonomy places the organism in Eukaryota, Metazoa, Chordata, Actinopteri, Siluriformes, Ictaluridae.
GUUUGUGUGGCUUAGUGGUUAGCACGUUUGCCUGACACCUCUAGGGGCCUGGGUUCGAUUCCCGCCAGGGCCA